GGGCGAAGCCUGAUCCAGCCAUGCCGCGGUGCAGGUAUGAAGGCCUUCGGGUUGUAAACUGCUUUUGUACGGAACGAAAAGCCUCUUUCUAAUAAAGAGGGGUCAUGACGGUUACCGUAAGAAUAAGCACCGGCUAACUACGUGCCAGCAGCCGCGGCUAAUACGUAGGGUGCAAGCGUUACUCGGAACUCCUACUGGGCGUAAAGCGUGCGUCCCCGG
RNAcentral lists this ribosomal RNA (219 nucleotides) under uncultured bacterium. Its description in RNAcentral is "partial 16S ribosomal RNA". It matches the Rfam family "Bacterial small subunit ribosomal RNA", at positions 373 to 578 of the family's 1533-position model. The record is from RNAcentral.